This 231-nucleotide non-coding RNA is filed under the name Eubacterium sp. RNAcentral describes it as "T-box sequence". It matches the Rfam family "T-box leader". Rfam says of the family: Uncharged tRNA acts as the effector for transcription antitermination of genes in the T-box leader family. T-boxes are found upstream of many aminoacyl-tRNA synthetase genes and some amino acid biosynthetic genes usually in Gram-positive bacteria. The record is from RNAcentral. Lineage: Bacteria; Bacillati; Bacillota; Clostridia; Eubacteriales; Eubacteriaceae.
UAAAAUGCGUUGAAGAGAAGAGUAACAGGAUAAGAACUAUACAGCGAAUCUUGCCAUGGUGAAAAAAGAUUAGGGAAUGUCCUGAGAAGAUGGUCUUGGAGCUACUUUUUUCGAUAUGGUAGAAAAAAGCGUAAAUGCUGCGUUACAGGCAGGAGCAUAGGUAUGCUUCAUGAGGUCACUGAAGAACAGUGAUGAAAUUAGGUGGUAACACGAUAAACUUUCGUCCUAAGG